Molecule: long non-coding RNA, 564 nt
Filed under: Pongo abelii (Sumatran orangutan)
Lineage: Eukaryota; Metazoa; Chordata; Mammalia; Primates; Hominidae
Description: lincRNA
Source: RNAcentral
UCUCUAUUUUCAGACUUGGGCAAACUCUACUCCUCAACUCAUGGAACAAUCUCAGUAUUGAUCUAUGCAUGACCAGUGCAAAAGCUUUUAUAUGGACCAAUCCCAGUCAGAAAGCAGGCACUUGGAAACCUCAUGUCUGUGAAGAACAAGGGGUGGAACCUCUGAAAUCCUCCCCUUUGAGACUUCCUGUGCAUUCACACAUCCUUCUGUGUGCCUUGAAAAUGUAAGAAACAGAUGUGGGCAAGAGGCAGCCAGAAGUCUCCGGCACAGGCCCUGCAACCUAUCUGCUCGCAUCCUGCUUGUGAGACAUGUCAGCGAUAAACUCCAGGAGUAGUCACAAGGGGUGACAGUGGUUACUGCCUGGCUCUGCAUCCAGCAGCCUGGUGGAGCCUAGGCUAAGUCUACAAAAAUACGGAGCUCAGAGCUCCUACCUAGAUGUUUUUGCACAUCCAACAGCCUGGUGGAGCCUAAGCUAAGUCUACAAAUAUAUGGAGCUCAGAGCUCCUACCUAGAUUUCUUUGCUUUAUUCAGGCAGAAUUGACAAAUUAGAAGGCAUGUAUUUAA